GUGCUCAACACCGGGCAUUUGAAGGGAAGCAGGAGGAGCGUCAGGCGCGAAGCGCAUGAGGCGAGGAAAGCCUGCUGACAGGACAAACGCCGGGUGUUGAGCAUGGUGAGAGUGGCGGACGGGCGAGUAACGCGUGAGCAACCUGCCCUAUGCAGGGGGAUAACAUCGGGAAACCGGUGCUAAUACCGCAUAAGACCACGAUAUCGCAUGGUAACGUGGUAAAAGCUGAGGCGGCAUAGGAUGGGCUCGCGUCCAAUUAGCUAGUUGGUGAGGUAAUGGCCCACCAAGGCGACGAUUGGUAGCCGAACUGAGAGGUUGGUCGGCCGCAUUGGGACUGAGACACGGCCCAGACUCCUACGGGAGGCAGCAGUGGGGAAUAUUGCGCAAUGGGGGAAACCCUGACGCAGCGACGCCGCGUGAAGGAAGAAGGCUUUCGGGUUGUAAACUUCUUUGAUCGGGGACGAAGAUGACGGUACCCGAGGAACAAGCCACGGCUAACUACGUG
RNAcentral lists this ribosomal RNA (505 nucleotides) under uncultured bacterium. RNAcentral describes it as "bacterial SSU rRNA". It matches the Rfam family "Bacterial small subunit ribosomal RNA", at positions 1 to 507 of the family's 1533-position model. The record is from RNAcentral.